CGUAGGUGGCAAGCGUUGUCCGGAUUUAUUGGGUUUAAAGGGUGCGUAGGUGGCCUAUUAAGUCAGUGCUGAAAUAUCCCGGCUUAACCGGGAGGGUGGCAUUGAUACUGAUGGGCUUGAGUAGAGUCGAGGUAGGCGGAAUUGACGGUGUAGCGGUGAAAUGCUUAGAUAUCGUCAAGAACACCUAUUGCGAAGGCAGCUUACUAGGCUCAAACUGACACUGAUGCACGAAAGUGUGGGGAUCAAACAGGAUUAGAUACCCUGGUAGUCCACACUGUAAACGUUGAUGACUCGCUGUUGGCGAUACAAUGUCAGCGGCUGAGAGAAAUCGUUAAGUCAUCCACCUGGGGAGUACGCCGGCAACGGUG
RNAcentral lists this ribosomal RNA (368 nucleotides) under uncultured organism. RNAcentral describes it as "bacterial SSU rRNA". It matches the Rfam family "Bacterial small subunit ribosomal RNA", at positions 526 to 896 of the family's 1533-position model. The record is from RNAcentral.